CAGAGGUCCCAUAUCAAAAAUAAAAGGUUCUUGGGGUGCUGAGGAAGGAGGAUCACUGCAUGUUCAAAGCUAGCCUGCACUACAUAAUAAAGAGAGUGGAGAUAUUUCUCUGAAGAUGUGACAUUUGAGCAGACCUGAUCGAAAUAAGGGUUGAACAAUGUGAGGCUGUGCUGGAAGACUAUUCCAGGAAAAAGAAAGAGCAAGUGGGAAUAACUGUGGAGAAACAGGACCUGAUUUGUGUUUUUAAAGAUCAAUCGCACCGUUUUAUGAAUACCUGCCGACCAUGGAGAGGCGAGACAGCAAGCAGGCCAGGUGAGGAAUAUGUAAUGAAGGCUUGGACAAGGAAGCAAAGGCAGUGGAGAAGGGCCAUCAGAAUCUGGAAACACUCUAAGGUUAAGCAUCCCUGACGUGAAAAUCUGAACUGCUUCAAAAUCUGUAACUUUGUGAGUGCUGACAUGACAAAUCCACAUCUGACCUCUUGACAGGCUACAGUCACAAUGCAGAUCUGGAAGCCACUGCACACAGUCUGAAGGAAGCUUUGCUAACCUGGGGGUGGGCUGUCAACAAAGACAAGAUAAUUGGGCCAUAUACUGCGGGCUGAUGCUCCGGUUACUGGCUUGAGUGACCCAGCAGUGACAGAUAGGGCACUGAUCCCAACAUACGGUGACAGCCCAAUGGAUUGCCUCUUGAAAGUGCAGCUGGCCUGUCUGCAUGUCCAACUCACAGAACAAGGUCCUAAGGGUCGACUCUAUGGGCUGCUGAUAAGACGUUACAUUCCCCUGACCUUUGAGGGUGUGGGAUGUUGGGAAUCACUUCUGACUGAUUCAAAGCCUGGAGCACCUGAGGAACCUUAAGGAUACAACCCACUGUCUAGCGCACGUGAACAACAGGAAAUACUUAUAGCUCUAAAGCUGGACUAUAAAGUCACAGAAGACGGUGAUGUGAAGAGACAGAUGGCUACAGUAAUAGCAUCAUUAUUCUGUAGCUUUGGGUGAAGUGGGUGCUGCAUAUGUUCCAUAAACUGUAAGGGGUAAAAGCCCACAUAGAUGUCUACAUAACAAAAAAGAAACACUACCAUCAGAGACUCUGAGUGACACAGGAAGAAAAUAUGCCAUGUCAGACAUCCAAAUCUAAGCAAAUCUAUUUCAUCUUUUAAAGGGAGAAGAGCUGUAGCUAUUAUUAUUAUUUUUGCAACAAAUAAUUAAUUCAGGAUACUAAAUUUGUUGAUAAGCAACAAAUAUAAUGUGUGCUUUUAAUAAUGAUGUUGCUUAAAUCAGACUCAUCUGCACUCUCUCUCAGGCUUCCUCUCCAAAAACAAUCCUGGAACAGAAAAGUGAUUUCAAACAAUUAUAAUGAUUACAAAGGAACUGUUAGCACCUGCUGCUGACUUUUGGCAGUCAUCAGUCAAUGAAGGACUCAGAAUAUUUGUUAACAACAACC
RNAcentral lists this long non-coding RNA (1440 nucleotides) under Heterocephalus glaber (naked mole-rat). Its description in RNAcentral is "lncRNA (ENSHGLG00100036874.1)". The record is from RNAcentral. Lineage: Eukaryota; Metazoa; Chordata; Mammalia; Rodentia; Bathyergidae.